This 73-nucleotide transfer RNA is filed under the name Acinetobacter baumannii. RNAcentral's name for it is "tRNA-Met(cat)". It matches the Rfam family "tRNA". From Rfam's summary of the family: Transfer RNA (tRNA) molecules are approximately 80 nucleotides in length. Their secondary structure includes four short double-helical elements and three loops (D, anti-codon, and T loops). Further hydrogen bonds mediate the characteristic L-shaped molecular structure. tRNAs have two regions of fundamental functional importance: the anti-codon, which is responsible for specific mRNA codon recognition, and the 3' end, to which the tRNAs corresponding amino acid is attached (by aminoacyl-tRNA synthetases). tRNAs cope with the degeneracy of the genetic code in two manners: having more than one tRNA (with a specific anti-codon) for a particular amino acid; and 'wobble' base-pairing, i.e. permitting non-standard base-pairing at the 3rd anti-codon position. The record is from RNAcentral. Lineage: Bacteria; Pseudomonadati; Pseudomonadota; Gammaproteobacteria; Moraxellales; Moraxellaceae.
AGCAGCGUAGAGAAGUGGCAUCUCGCCGGGCUCAUAUCCCGGAGGUCGCCGUUCGAGUCGGGCCGCUGCUACC